UACAGAGGUCCCAAGCGUUGUUCGGAUUUAUUGGGCGUAAAGGGUGCGUAGGCGGCGGAGUAAGUUGGGUGUGAAAUCCCGGGGCUCAACCUCGGAACUGCAUUCAAUACUGCUUCGCUCGAGUACUGGAGAGGAGGCUGGAAUUUACGGUGUAGCAGUGAAAUGCGUAGAUAUCGUAAGGAAGGCCGGUGGCGAAAGCGAGCCUCUGGACAGUUACUGACGCUGAUGCACGAAGGCCAGGGGAGCAAACGGG
This 253-nucleotide ribosomal RNA is filed under the name uncultured bacterium. RNAcentral describes it as "partial 16S ribosomal RNA". It matches the Rfam family "Bacterial small subunit ribosomal RNA", at positions 524 to 776 of the family's 1533-position model. The record is from RNAcentral.